AGGACGAUGGAGUCUUAAUGUUCCUGCUUGUUCCUAUAUAUUAGGAACUAGCAGGAGCAUUAAGAUUACAGUCGUCAAUAAAC
This 83-nucleotide microRNA precursor is filed under the name Nematostella vectensis (starlet sea anemone). RNAcentral describes it as "microRNA nve-mir-2028 precursor". Lineage: Eukaryota; Metazoa; Cnidaria; Anthozoa; Actiniaria; Edwardsiidae. The record is from miRBase by way of RNAcentral.